GCUUGUGUUCUUAGAUUCAUAGGCAAAGGACUUAGCCUUCUUGGCGAGGUCAACCGUGUAGCACCGGUUGAUAACCAAAGGAGACGUGGUGCUGCGAUUGUGGGGUUUUGCAUCGUGUUGUUCGAAAGCCGGAUCGAUUUGUGUCUCGUUUCCACCAAAUUGAGAGUUACCAGAACCUUCCUUUUGGAAGAUCGGGCCACCCUUAUUCUCAUCAAGUGGUAUCAAAGCUUCAAGUAUACCAUUAGGUUCACAUCUAUCCUUAGUUUUGAGUGUUCUUAUGUUCGUCCCGUCCAGUGUCAUAUCAUUUUCCUGUCCUACAACCCUUCCGCGCCAUAGCCUUUGCAUAUUUCAGUUUUAGAGUUCGUAGUGUUUAGUUUGUGUCUUGGUUGAGGUCAUGUUGCUAGUUAGGUCUUGUUAGAGUCAAAUUCAUGUGUUUUCCCCACCAUUUUCAUCAAUUUCUAGUCACCGCCGCAAAUUUUUACCACUUUCGGACCGUUUUGUGUCCUCUAAUUCGGAGUCCGUUUGUAAAACAGCCAUAACUUUCGCAUACGAACUCUGAUUUCGAUGUUCCAUAUAUAUCAAAAUUGAUUAGAAAAUUUUUUGGAACCGUCUGUCCCCGCCAUAGGUAUGUUCGACAAUUUUAGAUUUCCCAAAUUCACCUCCAAAGUUUGAGUUUUUACCUUACAAAAGUCUCUCCACAUUUUUUGCAAUCUUCAGAAAAUUCCACAGGCCAUGUCUUUCACUUGUUUAAGCUCAAAUUUUCUGUGGUUACUUUGUUGGUGCUCCUAAGUAAAAUAAAAAUAUCAAAAAAUAAAAAGAAAAGUCGAAAUUUUGCAAAAAAAAACAACGACAGCCCAAAAAUAAGAUAAAAGAGAGGGGCAAUAUAGGAACAAUAUCUAGAGGAGCACAUAGAGAAGAGCAAAGUGAGUUGUGUUAGCGUGUGCUGUUUUGUGCCUUGUUUCUAUUUCUCUUGCUAUCCAUCAUACUUGUUUCUCCACCUUGUUGAUCAUUACACACUUGGUACUUGGAACAUAUAAGGCCGGCAACAAGAACAAUCAAUUGGGACUAUAAUUCAGUAUUACUAUCUGUUUCUGAUUUUUGUUCUACAUAUAUAUAUUUGUCUCUUUGUGUGCCUUCCAAGCUCCAUAGAUACUUCUUGACAGCAAAGGUUUGCCUCCCUGCAAUCGUGGUUCCACAUCUUCCAGGUAUCCUUUGCCUUGCUGGUAAGAACACCAGUAAGACCUUGGUAAGGUGUAUCCUUUUGCUCUCAUUUUUGAGUGGCACCACUUCACCUUCGUAGUAUGAUUAUUAGGGAUAUCCUUCACAAUUUGUUCUUGUUUUUGUGUCUACAAUGUCAGGUGACGGGCUGCCCAAAGACUUCAAUGAGUGUGUUAGCCAAGAGCAGCUACAAGCUGUUGUACAACAAGCUAAUAAGGACAUGGAGUAGAUAGUCAUCAAGGCUGUUACUCAGAUGAUACUUGAGCUCAAGCUUGCUAACCAGUUGGAGAGAUUGGAUAGACGGAUGUCUGACCUCACUAAUAGUGUAGCUACUUUGGAAGUUCGUCCCGCUCCUGCUCCUGACAAUGAUGUGAAUGGAAGCAAUGACGAUGAUCUUGACAUGUAUGAUGCUAAUGGUAAUCUUGAUAACACGGCGAC
This 1656-nucleotide long non-coding RNA is filed under the name Sorghum bicolor (sorghum). RNAcentral describes it as "long non-coding RNA (SBIC_LNC010159)". Lineage: Eukaryota; Viridiplantae; Streptophyta; Magnoliopsida; Poales; Poaceae. The record is from RNAcentral.